UCGAGGACACGCUGGCGGCGUGCCUAACACAUGCAAGUGGAGCGACGAACCAGGGGCUUGCCCUGGGGCAAAGCCGCGAACGGGUGAGUAACACGUGGGUAACCUGCCCUGAUGAUUGGGACAACCCGGGGAAACUCGGGCUAAUACCAAAUGUGCUCAGCAGCCACAAGGCUGCUUGAGGAAAGGUAGCUUCGGCUUCCGCAUCAGGAUGGGCCCGCGGCCCAUUAGCUUGUUGGUGGGGUAAUGGCCUACCAAGGCGACGAUGGGUAGCUGGUCUGAGAGGAUGAUCAGCCACACUGGGACUGAGACACGGCCCAGACUCCUACGGGAGGCAGCAGUGGGGAAUCUUGCGCAAUGCGCGAAAGCGUGACGCAGCAACGACGCGUGGAGGAAGACGGCCUUCGGGUUGUAAACUCCUUUCAGUUGGGACGAAGCUUCGGCGGUGAAUAGCCGUUCGGAGUGACGGUACCUUCAGAAGAAGCCCCGGCUAACUACGUG
This 498-nucleotide ribosomal RNA is filed under the name uncultured Conexibacter sp. RNAcentral's name for it is "bacterial SSU rRNA". It matches the Rfam family "Bacterial small subunit ribosomal RNA", at positions 33 to 507 of the family's 1533-position model. The record is from RNAcentral. Lineage: Bacteria; Bacillati; Actinomycetota; Thermoleophilia; Solirubrobacterales; Conexibacteraceae.